RNAcentral lists this long non-coding RNA (421 nucleotides) under Spirodela polyrhiza (greater duckweed). RNAcentral describes it as "long non-coding RNA (SPOL_LNC002366)". The record is from RNAcentral. Lineage: Eukaryota; Viridiplantae; Streptophyta; Magnoliopsida; Alismatales; Araceae.
GCCAUGUUGCUAAGGUGGACCUCUUCUUUAAAUUUAGUUUAAAAAACUGAAUUAUCAAUAUUUUGUUGCUCCACUAUAAGAUUCACAUUUUUACAAUCACUUUAAGUCUAUAAUUAUUUUUCUUUUGAGGAUUAAGGCUUGGACUUGAUCAUAUAUAAUAUUGAAAUUGACAACUAAUCAUAAUUUUUAUCUAUUUCUAUAUAUUUUUAGAGGAAAAGUCCAUCUUUCAAGUACCUUAGAGUGGAGCCAUUCAUUCAAAUAAUGACACAGCUUCAUUUUCCUACACAUUCUAAUCUCCUCUUUAUAACCUUUCUAUCCUCAAUGAUUUAACAACAAUAUUGACUAAUUGAAAUUUAAUGUCGAUAUGAUUCAAACUAAUACCAUUUAUGUUAACAUAAGCUUAAAUAAAAUGAUGUUUAGU